CUGCUCACUUGGUAGCACCUAUACUAAAAUUGGAACAAUACAGGGAAGAUAACCAUGGCUCCUGUGCAAGAGUUAACAGUUUCAGUGACUGCUGUUUGUACUAAUU
Molecule: small nuclear RNA, 106 nt
Organism: Chionomys nivalis (European snow vole)
Lineage: Eukaryota; Metazoa; Chordata; Mammalia; Rodentia; Cricetidae
Source: RefSeq, a predicted model, not a curated record